RNAcentral lists this non-coding RNA (86 nucleotides) under bovine gut metagenome. RNAcentral describes it as "TPP riboswitch (THI element)". The stretch from base 3 to 77 matches the Rfam family "TPP riboswitch aptamer (THI element)", at positions 10 to 89 of the family's 105-position model. Rfam says of the family: Vitamin B(1) in its active form thiamin pyrophosphate (TPP) is an essential coenzyme that is synthesised by coupling of pyrimidine and thiazole moieties in bacteria. The previously detected thiamin-regulatory element, thi box was extended, resulting in a new, highly conserved RNA secondary structure, the THI element, which is widely distributed in eubacteria and also occurs in some archaea. Analysis of operon structures identified a large number of new candidate thiamin-regulated genes, mostly transporters, in various prokaryotic organisms. The record is from RNAcentral.
AUCAGGGGUGCUGCAUUUUUUGAUGCGGCUGAGAACAGACCCUAUGAAUCUGAACCGGGUAAUGCCGGCGUAGAGAGUAUGAACUU